This 796-nucleotide ribosomal RNA is filed under the name uncultured bacterium. Its description in RNAcentral is "bacterial SSU rRNA". It matches the Rfam family "Bacterial small subunit ribosomal RNA", at positions 36 to 809 of the family's 1533-position model. The record is from RNAcentral.
CUGGCGGCGUGGAUUAGGCAUGCAAGUCGAGCGCGAAAGUCCCUUCGGGGGCGAGUAGAGCGGCGAAAGGGUGAGUAAUGCAUGGUCAAUCUGCCCCUGAGACCUGGAUAACCGACCGAAAGGGCGGCUAAUACAGGAUGGUCUGACCCGGGCCUCGGCUCGGAUCAGUAAACGGUAGGGAUUCUUCGGAACCUUCUGCUCGGGGAGGAGACCAUGUCCCAUCAGCUAGUUGGCGGGGUAACGGCCCACCAAGGCAAUGACGGGUAGCUGGCCUGAGAGGGUGGUCAGCCACACUGGGACUGAGACACUGCCCAGACUCCUACGGGAGGCUGCAGUCGAGAAUCAUCCGCAAUGGGCGAAAGCCUGACGGUGCGACGCCGCGUGGAGGAUGAAUGCCUUCGGGUUGUAAACUCCUGUCACAGGUUAUGAAUGGCGUAGUGCUAAUACCACUGCGUUUGACAAAAGCUUGAGAGGAAGCAUCGGCUAACUCCGUGCCAGCAGCCGCGGUAAUACGGAGGAUGCAAGCGUUAUCCGGAUUUACUGGGUUUAAAGGGUGCGCAGGCGGAACGAUCAGUCAGUGGUGAAAUCUCCCGGCUUAACCGGGAAACUGCCAUUGAUACUAUCGCUCUUGAGUCCAGUUGAAGUAGGCGGAAUGUAGCAUGUAGCGGUGAAAUGCUUAGAUAUGCUACAGAACACCGAUAGCGAAGGCAGCUUACUAAACUGAAACUGACGCUCAGGCACGAAAGCGUGGGUAGCAAACAGGAUUAGAUACCCUGGUAGUCCACGCCCUAAACGA